GUCCUACUCCCUCCAUCUGGAAUUAGUUGACGCUCAAAUGGAUGUAUCUAGAUGUAUUUCAAUGCUAGGUACAUCCAUUUGAGCGCCAACUAAUUCCGGACGGAGGAAGUACACA
Molecule: non-coding RNA, 115 nt
Organism: Triticum aestivum (bread wheat)
Lineage: Eukaryota; Viridiplantae; Streptophyta; Magnoliopsida; Poales; Poaceae
Source: Rfam